UGAGGGAAUAUUUGGGGUCAAUGGUCGCGAGACUGAACCAGCCAAGUAGCGUGCAGGAUGACGGCCCUCUGGGUUGUAAACUGCUUUUAGUUGGGAAUAAAAGGCGGUACGUGUACCGCGUAUUGUAUGUACCAUCAGAAAAGGACCGGCUAAUUCCGUGCCAGCAGCCGCGGUAAUACGGAAGGUCCAGGCGUUAUCCGGAUUUAUUGGGUUUAAAGGGAGCGUAGGCGGAUUUUUAAGUCAGUUGUGAAAGUUUGAGGCUCAACCUUAAAAUUGCAGUUGAAACUGGAAGUCUUGAGUGCACGCAGAGGUGCCGGAAUUCAUGGUGUAGCGGUGAAAUGCUUAGAUAUCAUGAAGAACUCCGAUCGCGAAGGCAAGUGCCUGGAGUGCUACUGACGCUGAGGCUCGAAAGUGCGGGGUAUCAAACA
This 428-nucleotide ribosomal RNA is filed under the name uncultured Prevotellaceae bacterium. RNAcentral describes it as "bacterial SSU rRNA". It matches the Rfam family "Bacterial small subunit ribosomal RNA", at positions 354 to 774 of the family's 1533-position model. Lineage: Bacteria; Pseudomonadati; Bacteroidota; Bacteroidia; Bacteroidales; Prevotellaceae. The record is from RNAcentral.